This 1263-nucleotide ribosomal RNA is filed under the name Amphorellopsis quinquealata. Its description in RNAcentral is "eukaryotic LSU rRNA". The stretch from base 482 to 1263 matches the Rfam family "Eukaryotic large subunit ribosomal RNA", at positions 1 to 840 of the family's 3401-position model. Lineage: Eukaryota; Ciliophora; Spirotrichea; Tintinnida; Tintinnidae. The record is from RNAcentral.
GUCGUAACAAGGUUUCCGUAGGUGAACCUGCGGAAGGAUCAUUAACACUAAUCCAAACCUACUCAACGAAGCCCAAAUGCUUGCUCCGGCGAGCUCACAAAACUAAUCCGAGAAGCGUAAGCAAGCCAAAACCAAAACAAAUCCUCAACGAUGGAUGUCUAGGUUCCUACAACGAUGAAGAACGCAGCGAAGUGCGAUAAGCAAUGCGAAUUGCAGAUCCGUGAGUCAUCAGAUUUUUGAACGCAACUGGCAGCGCGGGGAACCCCCUGCGCCAUGCUUCUCUCAGUAUGUGAUUCUCUCCUGCCCCAAAUAAUAAUGCGACAGAUACCCUUCUGUUGCUAAGCUCGAAAGCACACUUCCUCUGCAGCGACCGGCUUGCCGGACGCACUCAAUGCAGCAGUCACAUUCUACAAUGUGAACUCAUUGAGAGCAGGCGAGGCGACGCGGUUUCCGCGCCAGUGCUUGGACAAUUAAAUUUUACGCAUCUGAGAUGAAGUAGGACCACCCGCUGAACUUAAGCAUAUCAUUAAGCGGAGGAAAAGAAACUAACUAGGAUUCCCCCAGUACGGGCGACGGAAGCGGGAAAAGCCCACGUUGGAAAUCUCCGGGCAACCGGCGAAUUGUAAUCUGAAGGCGCCACGCCUAAUUGGAAACGACGCAGAAGUGUCCACGAGCGGACCGCCAAAGAGGGUGAGAGCCCCGUCUGUGGUGUCGGAUCCUACCGGGCCGGUGUCCAAGAGUCGUGUACUCUGAUACGAGUGCACUAAGCGGGAGAUAGACUUCUUCUAAGGCUAAAUAUCUGUAGGAAACCGAUAGCGAACAAGUACUGUGAAGGAAAGAUGAAAAGCACUUUGAAAAGAGAGUUAGAAGACCUGAAAUCGUUGAGGCGGAAGCGGUAGAAAUGAAUUCUGCGGCGUGGCCUGAGCGUCCCGAGACAAACAUCGGAGCGUGGAGGCCGCGCAUCGAGGCAAGAUGGGGUCGGCUGGCGUCAGAGGCGGUGCGGGAUUCAUCCCGUGUUGGCUGGGCGUUGACCGGCCCGAGGGGCUAAUGCGAUCUUGUCAAAAUGGUUUUUACCGACCCGUCUUGAAACACGGACCAAGGAGUCUAAGACUAACGCGAGUAUGGUGGUGGAGAAACCAACAUGCGAAAUGAAAGUAAGCGAUGCCAUCCUCUGGGGCAGCAUCGACCAGCCAUGAGCCACUGGUGAAAGGUCUGAGUAAGAGCGUUAUUCUUAGGACCCGAAAGAUGGUGAACUAUGCGUGA